The sequence is a ribosomal RNA, 611 nucleotides long. The stretch from base 228 to 381 matches the Rfam family "5.8S ribosomal RNA".
UCCUUCCGUAGGUGAACCUGCGGAGGGAUCAUUGCUGGAAGCGCCGCAAGGUGCACCCAGAAACCCUUUGUGAACUUAUACCUAUUAUCGUUGCCUCGGCGCUGGCUGCCCUGUUUUCCUUCGGGACUAUAGGGGCCCCCUUUUCAGGGGACAGCAGGCCCGCCGGCGGCCUACUUAACUCUUGUUUUUACUGAGUAUCUUCUGAGUAAAGCUUCUAAAUGAAUCAAAACUUUCAACAACGGAUCUCUUGGUUCUGGCAUCGAUGAAGAACGCAGCGAAAUGCGAUAAGUAAUGUGAAUUGCAGAAUUCAGUGAAUCAUCGAAUCUUUGAACGCACAUUGCGCCCUCUGGUAUUCCAGAGGGCAUGCCUGUUCGAGCGUCAUUUCAACCCUCAAGCCUAGCUUGGUGUUGGGGCAUUACCUGACUGUUUUACAGGAGGGUAAGCCCUGAAAUUUAGUGGCGAGCUCGCCAGGACUCCGAGCGUAGUAGUAAAACCCUCGCUUAGGAUCGUACUGGCGCGGCCCUGCCGUAAAACCCCCAACUUCUGAAAAUUUGACCUCGGAUCAGGUAGGAAUACCCGCUGAACUUAAGCAUAUCAAUAAGCGGAGGAAA